CGCGUAGGCGGUUUAAUGAGUGUGAUGUGAAAGCCCUGGGCUCAACCUAGGAAGUGCAUCGCAAACGAUUGAACUGGAGUAUAUGAGAGGGUGGUGGAAUUUCCGGUGUAGCAGUGAAAUGCGUAGAGAUCGGAAAGAACGUCGAUGGCGAAGGCAGCCACCUGGCAUAAUACUGACGCUGAGGCGCGAAAGCGUGGGGAUCAAACAGGAUUAGAUACCCUGGUAGUCCACGCUGUAAACGAUGAUAACUAGAUGUUGGUAGGGGAACCUAUCGGUAUCGUAGCUAACGCGAUAAGUUAUCCGCCUGGGAAGUACGGCCGCAAGGUUGAA
RNAcentral lists this ribosomal RNA (330 nucleotides) under uncultured Aquicella sp. RNAcentral's name for it is "bacterial SSU rRNA". It matches the Rfam family "Bacterial small subunit ribosomal RNA", at positions 568 to 898 of the family's 1533-position model. The record is from RNAcentral. Lineage: Bacteria; Pseudomonadati; Pseudomonadota; Gammaproteobacteria; Legionellales; Coxiellaceae.